GUCAUAAACCUCAUCGUAUGAGGUGAAGAAUUCUUGGCCUUCAUUUGAGAGUAAUUCACUCAUUUUGGUGUCAUAUUGCUUAGCAUCAAACUGAGAUCCUUCUGGUGCCAAACCUGCCAUGACUGCAUAAAGAAAAACAUAUAUUAUAUGCAAAUUUUACAAAAGUUUAAGAGGGAAGUGUCAUAAUACAAAUUACAAAACUAAACAGGUAAAGAACACAAUUACAUCCUGGUACUGCAUCAGUUCCACCAAUAAAAAGGAGAGAAAAUCAGAAAGAUUGUAUAACAUAUUAUACAAUCUAGGGAAGAACGUCCUUAUAAAUUAUUCCGUAAAUGCUAGAAGCACAAGAAAGAACACACAAACACAAAUGAAAUAAUCCACCAGACCACACAAUGAUUCACUGUCGUCCACCCAUUACCCCAUAAUGGUAGGAAACAGAAGGAAAUUGUCACAGAAGAGCCAAACUUGCAAACCAAACAUAAAGAGGAGAACAAGCAUUAAACUUCUGUUUUAGUGUCUGGAGAAGAAGAUAUGCGAGGGGUAGCCAGGUAUCUGAUACAUAGGGUGUAUACCCUUCACCAUAAGACUACUUUGCCCAGUCCUCCAGAAUAUCAAAAAUUCAGAACCAAGGACUCAUUAUCUAAUAAAACAAGUUAAGAAAGAGACUGUUUCUCAAUGGAUUAAAAGAAACAGGUUACUAUCUCCCACCAUGAAAUUAUACAACAAUACAUUAUCAUAAAACUGUGGCCUUCUAAUAUGGGAUAAUCAUUAAAACAAGCAUCUGUGUAGCAUCAAAUGUUGGCAAAUUGUCUUAAAUAGUAAAUACAUACAAAUAUCUACCCUUUUGUAUGUGCUCUACAAUUGUAGUUGAGAACAAACAGAGAUUAUUCUAUAGAAAAGUACCACCUAAAUAGAAAACCAUAAGAACAAAACAAAAAGUACUAAUAAGGCAUAGCACAUAAGUAUAUCUAUGCUACUAUUGAGGAACGAGAAUUAGCAGUCUAAUAGCUAGCAGGGAAAAAAAUUUAGUGUCUAUUCAACUUCUGAUAAGACCAAUAAGUAAGUUAAUCCAUCUUGCCUUAUAUCAAGGCCAGAGUCCCAGAAAGAAUAAUUCUUCCUCUAAAAAGCUUAUAAAACUGUUCUAUAGUAACAAUCUGGUACUCCUCUAUUUUCUCUUUGUUCUCAAAUCAGGACCAGCUGACCUCUCAUAACCUGAAAAACUAACUAGACCAAGAAUCACUCAAGUAAUACAUCAUACAAAUAAUAAAACUCAAAACUUUAACUCCAAAACAAAGAAACAGAUCAAUCCCAGGUCCAAAAAACGAAGCCAACCACCAUAUCAAAUCCACAGCUAAAUCACCCUCCAAAAAGGGCAACAAAAAAAAAAUAUAAAUAAAGCGUUUAACAAAUACCCAGGUAGAGAUACGUAAAAUCAUAACCUUAAACAUUAAGAAAAAGAUCAACUCACGUAUAGAUCUGUCCAGAAGACCGACACCAACAAUUACAAACCAGCUAAUUACGCACACAGACACAUGUAUAUAGAAGAGAAUGAAAUAAAGAGAGUGAGGGAAGAGACCUGAUAGUAAGCAAGAGGUUGAUGGAGAGGUAGAGAGAUUUGGAGACUUUUUUGAGAGUAGAGAGAUAAAACUAGGGUUUCUAAUCCCAAACUCCUCGGAUCUGCGCCUUGGAGUUUGAAGAACAACAGCCUGAGCGUUUCUGAUUAGCAAUUGUCAAUGAUUUUGUUCUCAAUUUAGAUUUGCUCUUCCAGUUUCUGUACUUCGCUUUACUCAAAUG
This 1794-nucleotide unclassified non-coding RNA is filed under the name Hevea brasiliensis (rubber tree). The record is from RNAcentral. Lineage: Eukaryota; Viridiplantae; Streptophyta; Magnoliopsida; Malpighiales; Euphorbiaceae.